UGGAAAUUCCAUAUACUAUGUUACAUAGCUGCUACCGACAUGGCCAUAUGGAAGACAUAAGCGGUUCGACAUGCUCAUUGAUUGUUGGAAACGGACUUGCUAACAAAAAUAUAGCAGAAGCCGUGGGAGACUGGUAUUUCGAACGGAGCGAAUUCCAAGAGAUGGAUAUGGUCAACAACUUGCCACGGAACUGCACUGGCGACGACCAACCUAUUUUGGAGAAAAAGUGUAUCGAUUAUUAUAUUCAUCAUUAGAUGCCAAGAAUUGACAGCAUGUGAAUUUAAAUUUCUAUUUUCAGUUAUGAACGAAGGCUUAAAAUUUUCGGUU
Long non-coding RNA from Salvia splendens (bonfire salvia), 327 nucleotides. RefSeq lists it as uncharacterized. The transcript is spliced from 2 exons. Lineage: Eukaryota; Viridiplantae; Streptophyta; Magnoliopsida; Lamiales; Lamiaceae. The record is from RefSeq and is a predicted model, not a curated record.